This 432-nucleotide ribosomal RNA is filed under the name uncultured bacterium. RNAcentral describes it as "bacterial SSU rRNA". It matches the Rfam family "Bacterial small subunit ribosomal RNA", at positions 354 to 796 of the family's 1533-position model. The record is from RNAcentral.
GUCGAGGAUCUUUGGCAAUGAGCGCAAGCUUGACCAAGCGACGCCGCGUGUGCGAUGAAGGCCUUCGGGUUGUAAAGCACUGUCGAGGGGGAGGAAGCCGCAAGGUUGACCUAUCCCUGGAGGAAGCACGGGCUAAGUUCGUGCCAGCAGCCGCGGUAAGACGAACCGUGCGAACGUUGUUCGGAAUCACUGGGCUUAAAGGGCGCGUAGGCGGGUUCACAAGUCUGUGGUGAAAUCCUCCAGCUUAACUGGAGAAGUGCCAUGGAUACUGUGGGUCUUGAGGAGGGUAGGGGCAUCUGGAACUGCCGGUGGAGCGGUGAAAUGCGUUGAUAUCGGCAGGAACUCCGGUGGCGAAGGCGAGAUGCUGGAUCCUUUCUGACGCUGAGGCGCGAAAGCCAGGGGAGCAAACGGGAUUAGAAACCCCUGUAGUCC